This 1439-nucleotide ribosomal RNA is filed under the name uncultured bacterium. RNAcentral's name for it is "bacterial SSU rRNA". It matches the Rfam family "Bacterial small subunit ribosomal RNA". The record is from RNAcentral.
AGAGUUUGAUCAUGGCUCAGAACGUACGCUGGCGGCACGCCUAACACAUGCAAGUCGAACGAAGUAGCAAUACUUAGUGGCAGACGGGUGAGUAACAUGUAGGUAUCUGCCCUUUGGCCUGGAAUAACACGAGGAAACUUGUGCUAAUACCGGAUAAGUCUUUACGGAGAAAGCUUUAUGCACCAUUGGAUGAGCCUGCACUUGAUUAGUUUGUUGGUGGGGUAAUGGCCUACCAAGACUGUGAUCAAUAGCUGAUUUGAGAGGAUGAUCAGCCACAUUGGGACUGAGACACGGCCCAAACUCCUACGGGAGGCAGCGGUGGGGAAUCUUGCACAAUGGAGGAAACUCUGAUGCAGCGAUGCCGCGUGAGUGAAGAAGGCCCUUGGGUUGUAAAGCUCUUUCGUCGGGGAAGAAAAUGACUGUACCCGAAUAAGAAGGUCCGGCUAACUUCGUGCCAGCAGCCGCGGUAAUACGAAGGGACCUAGCGUAGUUCGGAAUUACUGGGCUUAAAGAGUUCGUAGGUGGUUGAAAAAGUUGGUGGUGAAAUCCCAGAGCUUAACUCUGGAACUGCCAUCAAAACUUUUCAGCUAGAGUAUGAUAGAGGAAAGCAGAAUUUCUAGUGUAGAGGUGAAAUUCGUAGAUAUUAGAAAGAAUACCAAUUGCGAAGGCAGCUUUCUGGAUCAUUACUGACACUGAGGAACGAAAGCAUGGGUAGCGAAGAGGAUUAGAUACCCUCGUAGUCCAUGCCGUAAACGAUGUGUGUUAGACGUUGGAAAUUUAUUUUCAGUGUCGCAGCGAAAGCGAUAAACACACCGCCUGGGGAGUACGACCGCAAGGUUAAAACUCAAAUGAAUUGACGGGGACCCGCACAAGUAGUGGAGCAUGUGGUUUAAUUCGAAGAUACGCGCAGAACCUUACCAACACUUGACAUGUUCGUCGCGACUCUAAGAGAUUAGAGUUUUCGGUUCGGCCGGACGAAACACAGGUGCUGCAUGGCUGUCGUCAGCUCGUGUCGUGAGAUGUUGGGUCAAGUCCCGCAACGAGCGCAACCCUCACUUUUAGUUGCCAUCAUUAAGUUGGGCACUCUGAAAGAACUGCCAGUGAUAAGCUGGAGGAAGGUGGGGAUGACGUCAAGUCCUCAUGGCCCUUACGUGUUGGGCUACACACGUGCUACAAUGGUAUCUACAACAGGAAGCAAGACUGCGAAGUUAAGCAAAUCCCUAAAAGAUACCUCAGUUCGGAUUGCACUCUGCAACUCGAGUGCAUGAAGCUGGAAUUACUAGUAAUCGUGGAUCAGCGUGCCACGGUGAAUGCGUUCCCGGGUCUUGUACACACCGCCCGUCACACCAUGGGAGUUGGUUCUACCCUAAGGCAAGGUUUCAAACCCUUGACCACGGUAUAGUCAGCGACUGGGGUGAAGUCGUAACAAGGUAUCCGUA